AUUAAAACCAUAAAUAAGGACCCACUCACACCCAUUAGGAGGACUACUAUCAGGAAGAAAAGAAAAAAGAAGGAAAGGAAAGGAAAAGAGAAAAGGAAAGGAAAAGAGAAAAGAAAAGGGAAAAAAGAAAAGGGAAAAAGAAAAGGGAAAAGGAGAAAAGAAAAAAAGGAGAGAAGAAAAGGGAAAAAGAAAAGAAAAAAAAAAAAGAAAAGGGAAAAGAAAAAAAGGAAAGGAAAGGAAAGGAAAGGAAAGGAAAAAAGAAAAAAAGAAAAAAAGAAAAGGGAAAAAAGAAAAAAAGAAAAUAAAAGGAAAAAAGAAAAAAGGAGAGAAGAGAGAAGAAAAGGGAAAAGAAAAAAGAAGGAAAGAAAGAGAAAAAAUGAAAAAGGAGAAAAGAAAAGGAAGAAAAUAAAAAGAGAAGAGAUAAGAAAAGGGAAAAGAAAAAAAGAAAAAAGGAAACGAAACAAAAGGAAAAGAAAGAGAAGAAAAGGGAAAAGGAGAAAAGAAAAAAAGGAAAGGAAAAAAGAAAAAGGGAGAAGAAAAGGGAAAAGAAGGAAAGGAAAAAAGAAAAGGGAAAAGAGAAAAGAAAAAAGAGACAGAAGGGAGAAGAAAAGUGAAAAAGAAAAGGAAGAAAAAAAGGAGAGAAGAGAGAAGAAAAGGGAAAAAGAGAAAAGAAAAAAAGAAAAAAAAAAAGAAAAAAAGAAAAAAAGGAGAGAAGAAAAGGGAAAAAAGAAAAAAAAGGGAAAAAAAGGAGAGAAGAGAGAAGAAAAGGGAAAAGAGAAAAGAAGAAAAAAGAAGGAAAGGAAAGGAAAGGAAAGGAAAGGAAAGGAAAGGAAAAAAGAAAAAAGAAGGAAAGGAAAGGAAAGGAAAGGAAAGGAAAGGAAAGGAAAGGAAAGGAAAGGAAAGGAAAGGAAAGGAAAGGAAAGGAAAGGAAAGGAAAGGAAAAAAGAAAAAAAGGAGAGAAGAAAAGGGAAAAGAGAAAAAAGAAGGAAAGGAAAGGAAAGGAAAGGAAAGGAGAAACCAGAACCCCCUACACACAGUUCCAGAAAAUAG
Molecule: long non-coding RNA, 1050 nt
Filed under: Felis catus (domestic cat)
Lineage: Eukaryota; Metazoa; Chordata; Mammalia; Carnivora; Felidae
Description: lncRNA (ENSFCAG00000049448.1)
Source: RNAcentral